This 253-nucleotide ribosomal RNA is filed under the name uncultured bacterium. Its description in RNAcentral is "partial 16S ribosomal RNA". It matches the Rfam family "Bacterial small subunit ribosomal RNA", at positions 524 to 776 of the family's 1533-position model. The record is from RNAcentral.
UACGUAGGGUGCGAGCGUUAAUCGGAAUUACUGGGCGUAAAGCGUGCGCAGGCGGUUCUGCAAGUCAGAUGUGAAAUCCCCGGGCUUAACCUGGGAACUGCGUUUGAAACUACGGAGCUAGAGUGCGGCAGAGGGGGGUGGAAUUCCACGUGUAGCAGUGAAAUGCGUAGAUAUGUGGAGGAACACCGAUGGCGAAGGCAGCCCCCUGGGCCGACACUGGCGCUCAGGCACGAAAGCGUGGGGAGCAAACAGG